UUAGAAUCUAGACUACUGUUAAAUCUUCAGUGGUCUAAUUGUCCAUACAGAGCUGUAUGUUUAUACAGAAACAUGUUAACUAGAUAACAGAGAGCAAGGACUAUAUUUUUUUUCUGUCUUUUCUCAGCAUAGUUUGAACGUAUAGUGUCCAUGGGACUGUUCCUGCUGUACCCGCUGCUGAUAUAAGACUCUGUCAUCUUUAUCCAUCUGAACCAGCCUGACCUAAUUCUCUUGCCUGCUGCUGAUUUGGCCAAUAGGGAGUCAGUAAGAUACUUAGUAUCUAGAGAUCUCCCUGAAGCUCCCAUAUCUGCACCCAAACUGACUGAACCUGUGGUGAGAUACCUUCCUCAUCGUUGUGCAUGAGAUCCUCUGACCAGGACGAGAGAAACCUCAUGAGCUCUCCUUAGAGCUGGCAGAAAUCAGACCCGACAACAGACAGACAAACUGAGUGUGCUAAUGCACACCUUUAAGCCCAGCUUUAGGGAAGGCGAAACAGGAGAGUUUGCAAGUUGGAGACCAACCUGGCACACAUUCUGGCUGUGGUGCAGAUCAGUGGUACAAGGCUUGCUUAGCAUGUGUAAGGCCUUGGGUUUGAUCCCUAGUAUUGUCCUUUCUGUCAGUCUAGGCAAACUGAUGAACAAUCACAGUUAUUAUAGUAUAGGAGUAAUACUAUGAUCUGUUUUAAGCCAGCCGUCAUACGUUUGUUUUAAUUGUAUCCACAUUUGGUAUGUGUAACAGAGUCAAGUGUAAGUCAUUACACUUCAAUAUUCAAAUGGUGUUGAAAUAUUUUGACAUGUCACCUGAUAAGUAUGUGCUCUGACACUAUUGUAAAGAAACUUCUUUCCUAUUUUCUCCCUCUUAUGGCAAUUAUAAAUCAUCAUACAUCUUC
Mastomys coucha (southern multimammate mouse) is the source of this 889-nucleotide long non-coding RNA. RefSeq lists it as uncharacterized. NCBI's taxonomy places the organism in Eukaryota, Metazoa, Chordata, Mammalia, Rodentia, Muridae. The transcript has 2 exons. The record is from RefSeq and is a predicted model, not a curated record.